UACGUAGGUGGCAAGCGUUGUCCGGAUUUAUUGGGCGUAAAGCGAGCGCAGGCGGUUCAAUAAGUCUGAUGUGAAAGCCUUCGGCUCAACCGGAGAAUUGCAUCAGAAACUGUUGAACUUGAGUGCAGAAGAGGAGAGUGGAACUCCAUGUGUAGCGGUGGAAUGCGUAGAUAUAUGGAAGAACACCAGUGGCGAAGGCGGCUCUCUGGUCUGCAACUGACGCUGAGGCUCGAAAGCAUGGGUAGCGAACAGG
RNAcentral lists this ribosomal RNA (253 nucleotides) under uncultured bacterium. Its description in RNAcentral is "partial 16S ribosomal RNA". It matches the Rfam family "Bacterial small subunit ribosomal RNA", at positions 524 to 776 of the family's 1533-position model. The record is from RNAcentral.